UGUAUCCUACGGGGGGCAGCAGUAGGGAAUUUUCGUCAAUGGGCGCAAGCCUGAACGAGCAAUGCCGCGUGAACGAGGAAGGUCUUCGGAUCGUAAAGUUCUGUUGUAGGGGAAAAAGAGCGGAGAGAGGAAAUGAACUCCGAUUGAUAUUACCCUUCGAGGAAGUCACGGCUAACUACGUGCCAGCAGCCGCGGUAAUACGUAGGUGGCGAGCGUUAUCCGGAAUGAUUGGGCGUAAAGGGUGCGUAGGCGGCCUGCUAAGUCUGGAGUGAAAGGUACCGGCUCAACCGGUACAGGCUCUGGGG
RNAcentral lists this ribosomal RNA (305 nucleotides) under uncultured bacterium. RNAcentral describes it as "bacterial SSU rRNA". It matches the Rfam family "Bacterial small subunit ribosomal RNA", at positions 333 to 631 of the family's 1533-position model. The record is from RNAcentral.